GCUAUAUCAUCAUUUGAAUUUCUUUUACAAAAAUAAAUAAUAAAAAAGAAUUACUAAAAACUUCACAUCUCAUAAAGCUAAAAAUCAGAUUUUGAAGAUUUUACUUUUGAAAUUUAAGGUCUCCAAGUAAUUUUACCUUCAAGACUACUAAAAUGCUUGAGUCGCCACAAACCGUCACUCCCUUCCCCCACCCAAAUAACCUCUAUCAUAAAGCAAAUAAAAUCAUGAUAUUCUAUUAAAUCCUUACCCCAUUUUUUCAUUUAAUAGCUUACCAUUAUGGUGCUCGGGUCUCCCCGGACCCCAUCCUAUCCCCCGCCCAGUAUUAUAGUGUCAACUCAACUCAACUCAACUCAAAAUCUAAUUUCAUUUACUAUUGUACCUUUCAUUUAUUUACUACCCUUGGAACAUGUUGUACUUUGUUGGGACCAUGGAGCACUGGAUUCUUGCACAUGCCUCUUCAUUUAACAAGCACUAAAUUUAACCAACGUACAUAUGGUCCAUAUAUCACAACCAUCCCCCGCCCCCCCCCCCCCCCCCCCACGCCCACACAACGCAACCCCAAACAAACCCCACCACACAAACCGUCUUUUCCGUCUGCCAAAAAAUAGUAGUAAAACUAUAUUAAAUAAACGAUAUUCAAGAAUCCUGAGGUAUUAUGCUAGAUAGUUUAUAUUUAGGAAAAGAACAUACAUUGUAAAGACUAUAUCGCCUCGUACCAGGACUUGUUUAUGCUGAUCCAACUUAUCGACUACCACCUUGCGUUAAGCAGAUCCAAAUAUCGAUGAUAGAACUCGAGAAUGACAUCGUCAAUUGGCCGUGAAGACGGUGAUGGUUUCACAACUUAAACAUACAGAUAGUGUGACCAUUAUGAGAGCGUGAAGUACAGAAGAAGUUACGUAGAGUUUAGACUACAUAUUAUAUAAAUAUACGCUCCUUUCCUCCACUUGUGAGAGAUCAGAUUUUCAUCACAAUAUAUAGCUACAUGACUUUCACAGUUGUAACUCCAGCUCUGAAUUACUAGACAAUUACGCCAGCAAACAGUACACAAAUUCUAAGAAGGAUUUUUU
Molecule: long non-coding RNA, 1067 nt
Filed under: Capsicum annuum
Lineage: Eukaryota; Viridiplantae; Streptophyta; Magnoliopsida; Solanales; Solanaceae
Description: long non-coding RNA (CANN_LNC008623)
Source: RNAcentral